GGAGAGGUGGCAGAGCGGUCGAAUGCACCGGUCUUGAAAACCGGCGUAUCCGCAAGGGUACCGUGGGUUCGAAUCCCACCCUCUCCGCCA
Molecule: transfer RNA, 90 nt
Filed under: Gammaproteobacteria bacterium
Lineage: Bacteria; Pseudomonadati; Pseudomonadota; Gammaproteobacteria
Description: tRNA-Ser
Rfam family: tRNA
About the family: Transfer RNA (tRNA) molecules are approximately 80 nucleotides in length. Their secondary structure includes four short double-helical elements and three loops (D, anti-codon, and T loops).
Source: RNAcentral